Molecule: unclassified non-coding RNA, 357 nt
Filed under: Zea mays
Lineage: Eukaryota; Viridiplantae; Streptophyta; Magnoliopsida; Poales; Poaceae
Description: misc RNA Zm00001eb267540
Source: RNAcentral
CUGCGUGCAGAAAAACGUGCGCGCAGGGACGAGCUCGACAGGGAUCUUGGCGAGACCACGGCGCUGGAAGUCGAGUGCAAUCCGAGCUGGGCGAGCUGCACCAAGGAGCAGCAGCCGGCCAUGGGAGGUGGCGGCCAAGCAAGCUGGGGAUGGCCGACGGCGCUGGGGCUGGACGCGCUGGAUACCGAGCGCAAACAGGAAGAAGCGGAGGCCGAGCUGGGCACCGGCGCGCGUCAUGGGAGAGAGCAGAGCGAGCUCCAGCCAGGAAAUUGGCGAGCUGGGAGAUGGAGCCGAGAGGGCUGCGCAGCGGUCAGGCGAGCUGGGCAAGACCUCGGCUGGGCGGACCAUGGCGGAUAG